This 85-nucleotide transfer RNA is filed under the name Spirochaetota bacterium. RNAcentral's name for it is "Spirochaetes bacterium (wastewater metagenome) tRNA-Ser". It matches the Rfam family "tRNA". Rfam says of the family: Transfer RNA (tRNA) molecules are approximately 80 nucleotides in length. The record is from RNAcentral. Lineage: Bacteria; Pseudomonadati; Spirochaetota.
GGAGAGGUGUCCGAGAGGCCGAAGGAGCACGGUUGGAAACCGUGUGUGGCGUAAGCCACCGGGGGUUCGAAUCCCCCCUUCUCCG